GCGGCCGUAGUGUAAUGGCAACACAAAAGUUUUCCAAACUUUAUCACGGGUUCGAGUCCCGUCGGCCGCU
RNAcentral lists this transfer RNA (70 nucleotides) under Chloroflexota bacterium. RNAcentral describes it as "Chloroflexi bacterium tRNA-Gly". It matches the Rfam family "tRNA". Rfam says of the family: Transfer RNA (tRNA) molecules are approximately 80 nucleotides in length. Their secondary structure includes four short double-helical elements and three loops (D, anti-codon, and T loops). Further hydrogen bonds mediate the characteristic L-shaped molecular structure. tRNAs have two regions of fundamental functional importance: the anti-codon, which is responsible for specific mRNA codon recognition, and the 3' end, to which the tRNAs corresponding amino acid is attached (by aminoacyl-tRNA synthetases). tRNAs cope with the degeneracy of the genetic code in two manners: having more than one tRNA (with a specific anti-codon) for a particular amino acid; and 'wobble' base-pairing, i.e. permitting non-standard base-pairing at the 3rd anti-codon position. Lineage: Bacteria; Bacillati; Chloroflexota. The record is from RNAcentral.